Molecule: non-coding RNA, 655 nt
Organism: Microcebus murinus (gray mouse lemur)
Lineage: Eukaryota; Metazoa; Chordata; Mammalia; Primates; Cheirogaleidae
Source: RefSeq, a predicted model, not a curated record
AUGGAGGGUGCCGAAGAGAAGAAAAAGAAGAAAAAAGAAAGAAAGAAAAAGCGAAGAAAUUUCGCGGAGCUGAAGAUCAAAUGCAAGAGAGAGAAAUUUGGCCAAAAGAUGCUUCGAAAAGCAAGGAGGAAGCUUAUCUAUGAAAAAGCUAAGCGUUAUCACAAGAAUACAGGUAGAUGUACAGAACUGAGAUUCAAAUGGCUAGGACAGCAAGAAAAGCAGGCAACUUUUAUGUACCUGCAGAACCCAAAUUGGCAUCUGUCAUCAGGAUUCGAGGUAUCAAUGGUGUGAGCCCAAAGAUUGAAAGGUGUUGCAGCCUCUUCACCUUCGCCAGAUCUUCAGUGGAACCUUUGUUAAGCUCAACAAGGCUUUAAUUAACCUGCCGAGGAUUGUAGAACCAUAUAUUGCAUGGGGGUACACAAACCUAAAGUCAGUAAAUGAACUAAUCUACAAGCGUGGUUAUGGCAAAAUCAAUAAGAAACGAAAUGCGUUGACAGAUAACGAUUUGAUUGCUCGAUCUCUUGGUAAAUAUGGAAUCAUCUUCAUGGAGGAUCUGAUUCAUGAGAUCUAUACUGUUGGGAAACGCUUCGAAGAAGCAAAUAAUUUCCUGUGGCCCUUCAAGUUAUCAUCUCCACGGGGUGGAAUGAAGAAAAAG